GCGGGUGUCUCCCGGGCGGCUUUAUUUCCAAGGGUUCGUAAGAGGGAAAACGAGGCGAGGGAUGAGGGGAACAACCACACGGAAGGGAAGCCAGCUCCAAGAGCCCCAAACCAGGGGCGGGGCAGAGAUUAUAACUAUAACUGGGUAGGAGGGUCAGGGUACAAAACAUCCAACCAGGUGAGGGCUUGAGGGUAGAGUCAGGGAAGAGCGACAGGGCAACAGCCAACUGGGAUGGAGGGAAGGGAUGGCUUCGAGGGGAGAACCAACGGGGGUACAGAGAACUAAGAACUUUCCAGAACUCGGGGAAGGAGUACACAAUGAUGGACAGGAGCAAAGGGAAGGGAUAACAAAAGACUGACAACUGGGGGAGGCGGGAAACUAAAUGUCAGUUGCCUCCCAAGGCAGAGCAGGGGGGCCAUCAGCCACACCCCCUCCCACAUCUCCCCCGUCUUUGUUAAUUAAAAAGACAUCCCCCAAAGUCUUAACUAAAUAUUUCUUAAAGAUCGCUAAAGUGAUAAAAAUGAGGAGGAUGAUUACAAAAAUCCAUAGAAGUCCUUUGAUGAUGGAGGCUGCCCAUCCGGGGACACCCCACUGCGAAAAGGCUUUAUCUACUGGGUAAGCAGCUGAAGUUUCAGUCUUUAGAUCUUUUACUUGCGCCUCGAUCCGCUUGAUGUUGGCUUGAAUUGACGUGCUUCUAGAUGAUAAAUUAAAACAGCACAGUCCAUCAAAGUCCUCGCAGCUGUGGCCAUGGGCUAGGAGUAAGAAGUCUAUGGCCGCUCGAUUUUGUAGAGUGGCAUGCCUGCUGGUUUGCUCGUCUGCCAGAAGAUCGGAGAGAGCGGCAGACGUGCGUUGGCAUUCUUACUAAUCCAGCACUACAAGUGAGAAAGCUCACCGAGGACCUUAGCUGCCGCAUACCAAGGGAGAAAAAUGGAUGCAGCGAUCCUCUUUGUUUUUCCCCAAUUAUAAAUUUCGGAAUCGCAAUUUUCAUCAAAUUGGUUGUAUGAUCUUUUUGUGCGUGCCAAUUGUUUCUCUUUUUUCCAAUCUAUAAUUUGGGUCUUGUUCAGAGUGAGAGUAGCAAGCUUGCCAAGGCUACAUGGUCCCCCCUGGAGCCGGAAUGGAAUUCCUGACCAUACUCUGUCCCCACAGAUAAGAAACAUCCCCCUGGGGAGCACCUUAGGACGCGUGGAGGAGACCAAAAUGACCUGGCUGGUGUAAUUGCACCAGGUCUGACUAUUAUAUUUUUUGUUGAGAGGUGUAACAUCCUUUCUGUAAGUAUUCUUGGCCAAAUCGAUUCCAUGCCAAUUUUGACUUGGCCUUCUGUAAUAGAAUUUUACACAAUAUGUAGCUGUGGAGGACCCCAGCAGAUCCAAUUCUUGGGGUUCCUCUUUGCUGUUUGUUAAAAUUUUUGUCUACUCAUCCCAAGUGUCGACCGGGUUAGGUCUCUUACCUGUGGUUCGGAGCAGGUCGGAGUUGAACACGGGCCAAUCAUCGGCAACCAGGGGAACCCCCACCAAGCAUGUGGACAAUGGAUUGUCCACAUUGCCCAUGGCCAGACAUAGGUUUUCUUGCUGCAAAGAUUUCGCAAGCGUGACCCAGACGUUUUCUUUUGGCUGCUGGACGAUCCAGCCGUCUGCCGCUUGCAGCCACAAGAUGACUACCACAGCGACGGCCAGCUGGGCGCAGUGGGUCAUCUUCAGAUGUUCCUUCCGGGUUGGUGUAAUGUGGGCAGCCAUCCUCAUUCUAUUAAAAUAAAGGGGAGCAUAAAUAACUUAAAGGGUUUGGUUCCCUCCCCUCCCAGCUCACCCCUUGAUUUAAAAUAAAACAUCUUAGGGCAGAGGGGCAAAGGGAAAGCAGGUAAGGUAGGGGGGCAGGGGAAAUGAGACAGGAGGGGAUGGGGUAUUAGGGAGUGUCCAGUCCGGUGGGGGAAGGUACAAUCUGGAGAUGAGGACUCGGGACACCAAGUUGGGGCGGCUCCAGGUCCUCUUCUUUUUCCUCCUUCUCCAUGCGACUGCGUCAUCUGGUGUUGAGGGUGACGCAGUCCCGCGAUCAUUCUGUGUUGGUGGGUCAGCAACGGCGGCGUCUUCUAGGAAGGGCUUGACAUAUUUGCCCGGAAUCCAUUUUGGUCCUUGUGCUGUAGAGACACAUGCAUACCCUCUCCCCCAAGUUAUUAGGGGGAAUGGCCCUGAGAUGACGCGGGAUUCCGGGUCCCGGACAAGCACUGGUGGGCGCUCCUGCAAAAGUGCUCUUGUGCUAUUGUGAAAGUGUCUAAGAACUGGCGGGUCUGGCUCCCGGUUUGUGCAAUUUAAGAAGUUCAGCACAUAAAGUGCUUUGCAUAGUCUCUCGACCGGGGUCAUUGCCAGCGCCGUGUCAUGCUGCUGAUCGAGCAGUCUUUUGAGCUCCUUGUGGGAGCGCUCCACUAUAGCCUGACCGGUAGGAUUGUGUGGGAUUCCUGUGAUGUGUUUGAUGCCCCAUUGCUGGAGGAAUUCUUCAAAUUGUUUGGAGACGAGUCCUGGACCGUUAUCGGUCUUUAUUGUCUUCGGGACCCCUAACGUAGCAAAUGCCAUGUAAAGGUGUUUCUUGGCAUCUUUCGUCUUCUCUCCUGUAUGGAGAGAGGCGAAGAUUGCUCCUGAGAAAGUGUCUAUCGACACAUGUAUAUACUUCAGGCGGCCAAAGGGGUUGUAAUGUGUGACAUCCGUUUGCCAGAGCUCCAAUGCUCCCAGUCCCCAGGGAUUGACCCCUGAUGUCACUGGUGGAAGGGCAAGGGACGGACAGCUGGGGCAAGUGGCGAGGAUUGCUUUGGCCUGUUCCUUUGAAAUUUUGAACUGCCUCGCUAGGGCAGGAGCGUUCUGAUGAAAAAAUGCAUGGCUGAGCCUUGCCUGUGCAAAAAUAUCUGGGAUGGUGUUUGAAAGUGUGUGUGUGGAAGAGGCUGUAGUGGCAAUGGCCAUGGCUAAAUGGUCCGCCCUCCGGUUGCCCUCAGCGAUGGCUCCGGGCAGGUCUGUGUGGGCCCAGACGUGCAUUAUGUGAUAGGGUUGCUCCCGGUGGGAGAUCAGCCAAAUUAAUUCCUUGAGCAACCCGAAUAAUUUUUUGUUUUGAAUUUCUUUGAGCAUGGCGUGUUCUGCCCACUCGGCUAUCCCAGCCACGUAUGCCGAAUCAGUCACCAGAUUGAAAGGUUGUUUAAAUUUUUUGAAUGCUCUCACGACUGCAGCAAGUUCUGCGAUCUGGGGGGAGCCCUCAACGAUUUGGAUGUCAGACUCCCACUUCUGACUCUCAGGGUCCUUCCACGUGAUCACUGAUUUGUGGGACUUUCCCGACCCAUCAGUGAACACCGUGAGAGCCUCUUUGAUAGGUGUUUUACUCUUGAAUGAUUUUGGGGCCAAAUAUAAGGUAUCUUUAAACAACUUGUGCUUAGGGUAAUGUAUCGAAAUUUGACCAGGAUAGCUAUCUAAAGAAAUUUGCAGGUUUUCAUUUGUUUGUAAAAGAGAUUCCAAUUGUUCCAGAUUCAAAGGCACAUAGAUGCACGCCAGAUCACACCCUGUGAGGGUCCGGAGGCGUUGUCUGGCCUUGAUUAUUAGUUUUGCCAUCAAUUCGGCGGGUGUUGAGAUGGUCUUGGUGCAGAAGGAACAACCACUCGAUGAUGAGGAGUGGGUCUUUCCGCCCAGCAUCCCACUGAAAAAGCAAACCAUGGAAGUUUGGGCACUUACCAAGGAUGGCAAGGGUGAUGGGAAGGACCCGGUCCACACGGUGCGCCUGGCGGGAUCUGAUGGCCUGUGCGACUCUCUCCAGGGCUCCCUUCGCAGCAGGUGUCAGCUCACGUGGAGAAGCCAGGUCGCCGUCUCCUCGCAGGAGGUUGAAGAGGGGUGCCAGCUCCUCCGUGGUGAGUCCCAGGAGAGGUCGGAUCCAGGUGAUGGUACCGCAGAUCUGUUGCAGAUCCCGCAGGGUCUGUGGGUUGUCCUUGGAAAUGGACUGGGGCGCGACGCUCCUUCCCGUGAUGGUGAUGCCCAAAUACUUCCACGGCGCAGAAAGCUGGAUUUUUUCCUCUGCUAUUUGAAAACCCGCAUCCUUGAUGGCUUUAAUUGUCCUUGAAAGUGCUGCGUGGAAGUAGGUGGUUGUUUCCGCACAGAUAAGGACGUCGUCCAUAUAAUGCAAAAUCAUUGCUUCUGGGAAAAGUCGGCGGAUUGGCGACAGAACCUGAGCCACGAAUGUUUGACAGAGCACUGGAGAGUUUUUCAUUCCUUGGGGCAGAGUGGUCCAUUGGUAUCUUUUGUAGGGCUCUGCCCUAUUGAUGGACGGGACAGAGAAGGCGAAUCUGGGGGCAUCUCCGGGAUACAGUGGGAUGUUGAAAAAGCAGUCCUUGAUAUCAAUGACUGCGAGCUGCCAAUCCCGGGGAAGCAUGGAGGGUGAGGGAAGCCCAGGCUGAAGGGGGCCCAUGUCUUCAAUGACAUCAUUGACCCUGUGGAGGUCCUGGAGCAGGCGCCACUUGUCUUUGCCUGGUUUUUUGAUGACAAAGACAGGAGUGUUUCAGGGGCUGGUGGAGGGUAUUAAAUGCCCCAGGCGCACCUGCUCCUCUACAAGUUCAUUGAGUGCAUUUAAUUUCUCCUCCAUGAGGGGCCACUGAUCCACCCACACCGGAACAUCGGUUUUCCAAUUCAACGGUGGGGAGGUGCGCUCCGCAGUGGCCCACGCUAAAAAUCCCAUGCAGGGCUAGGGAUGUCAAGGCGGGCACCCCAUUGGGACAACACGUCCCUGCCUAAUAGCAUAAUAUUGGAAGAAACAACAAAAGGCCGAAUGGUGGCUAUUUGUCCCUCAGGGCCCUCCACACUUAGCAAGCGUCGGCUUCGCAUAGAAUUGACAGCUCCACCCACUCCAGAGAUUGUGCCACAAGGAGGCACCAACUCCCAGUUGCGGGGCCACUUUGACCUGGGAAUGAUGGUGACAUCAGCCCCAGUGUCCACCAUCAGGUUCAUCAUCACCGACCUCCCCUGCAAUGAGAGCACAGUCUUAAUUAUUGGUCUUUCCUUUGACACAUUUUGUGUUAGGAAAACAUGAAUGUCUUCUUCCGAGUCCCAUCCAGGGAGAUCGUCAGGAUCAAGCAGAUAGAGCAUAGCGAAGGGGAGCCCUUUGUCCAAGGUGUACGGGGGCUCGUGGCAGAUGACGGAGACCGUUACCUCGGACCCCGGCGGGACACACACCACUUCGGGCAAGAUGGAAAUCCGGUCCGGUGUGUGCUGUGCGUCACCCAGGACAAGCACUGUUGCUUCGCCAUGGCUGUGUGGGGGCCCCAGGAACCCCGCAGGGACUCUCACCAGGUCCUCAUCCAGUAACGUGAUGGUGACCGAGCUUCUGAGGACCUGGCGGCGGCUGGGAUCUAAGUUGGCUGUUCUCCGGAGGAGGCGAAGUCCAUCGUCGCAGCUCCGCCAGUCCUCCGGAACUGUCCCCUGGGCCACUGGUCCUCCCGGAUGGUAGGGAGGCUCGGGCGCUGAGAAGGGCCAUUUGUUGUUCUCGCGUGGCC
RNAcentral lists this long non-coding RNA (5509 nucleotides) under Taeniopygia guttata (zebra finch). Its description in RNAcentral is "lncRNA (ENSTGUG00000025318.1)". Lineage: Eukaryota; Metazoa; Chordata; Aves; Passeriformes; Estrildidae. The record is from RNAcentral.